ACACCCGGGUGGUUCUGGCUACGGGUACCCGGACCUGCCCAACGACCGUUCUCCAUUCCCGACCUCCGCACCCUACCCGGUCCGCAGGGCACCUUCCUCCUCUCUCUCAGGCACGUCCUCGACCUCAGUUGCCACGUGCACAUGCUGGUGCCUUCCAGGUACCAGUCAGGACUGGUAGACUUUAAUGUGGAGAACUUCUGAAACAGCAGUUCUCAAAAUGUUACCUCCAGACACACAGAAUCUGCAUCACCCAGGAACUUGUAACCAUGCAAAUUCUCAGCCACCCAGACUUCCUGCAUCAGAAACUCUGGGGCCCAGCAGCCUGUGUUUUAACAAAGCCCUUCAGGCUGGAGUAUAGUGGCAUGAUCAUAGAUCACUGCAGCCUCAAACUCCUGGGCUCAAGCGAUCCUCCCACCUCAGCCUCCAUAUAGCUGGUGGGGACCAAGUUUCUAACACAUGAAUGUUGGGAGACACAUUCAGACCAUCGCAGUGGCCUUAUAAAAAGAGACACAAGAGCUUGCUCUCUGCCAUGUGAGAAUACCACAAGAAGACUGUCCUCAGCAAAUCAGAAAGCGGGUGGACCCUCAUCAGACACCAGAUGUGCCUGCACCUUGAUCUUGGACUUGCCAGCCUUCAGAACAGUAAGAAAGAAAUGUGUGUUGUUUAAGCCACCCAGUCUAUGGUAACUUGCUAUAGCAGCCCACUAGGAGACCCCAAGAUAUUUAAAAACUCAUCAGCACCUGCUUUCUGCAUCUGGACCCUGAUCUUCUGGUGGGUUUACCAGUUACUUGUAGAGUGUCCCUGUGAUAGUUUUAGGUGUCAACUUGACAGGAUUGAGGGAUGCCUAGAUGGCUGGGGAAGCACUGUUUCUGAGAAGGACCAUGUUUUUGGAGGAGACUGUUUUAUGAGUGAAUUUCAGGGGACACAUUCAGAUCAUGGCAGUGGCAUUAUAAAGAGAGACACAAAAGCUUGCUCUCUCUCUCUGCCAUGUAAGACUACCACACAAAGACUGCCAUCUGCAAACCAGAAGCAGGUGGGCCUUCCAACUUGGAUCAGGCCAUGCCACCGGCUUCUCUGAUUCUCCAGCUUGCAGAUGGUAUAUUGUGACCCUGGCAUUUAAUAACUAUGACUUUGGUCUUAAGCAAUUUUCUUCCUCUGUGGAUUGAUAUUUACAUAUCAAUGUGGAUAAUAAUUUCUUACCACGGUAACUGUUGUGAGGUAAAAAUGAGUUAACAUAAGUAAAACCGAGCACAUGCAAACCAUCCGAAAUGGUUAAUACUUACUAUUUGUACUUGAAGAAAUAAAUGUUUUUGACAAUAAA
This 1321-nucleotide long non-coding RNA is filed under the name Homo sapiens (human). Its description in RNAcentral is "long intergenic non-protein coding RNA 847". The record is from RNAcentral. Lineage: Eukaryota; Metazoa; Chordata; Mammalia; Primates; Hominidae.